Long non-coding RNA from Arachis stenosperma, 629 nucleotides. RefSeq lists it as uncharacterized. Lineage: Eukaryota; Viridiplantae; Streptophyta; Magnoliopsida; Fabales; Fabaceae. The record is from RefSeq and is a predicted model, not a curated record. The transcript is spliced from 2 exons.
UCUGACAUGAACUCUGUUCUAUUGACGUGGCCGUGUAUGCCACGUAGAAGUGUGAAAUAGUUAAGGGACAAAAGAGUCCCCACGCCAAAAACGACACCAUUCGAGUCCCUUUCACGCUCUUCUUUUUGCUUUUCUACCUUUCCUUUAAACCCAUUUGACCACAAUACAAUUGCAGAAACUCCAUAACAAAGAUCAAAACUGAAAAGUCACAGUAAUACUUUGUUUCUCCCUCCAAAAAGAAAGUCACAGAUUCUUCCUUGUUGCGUGGUGGUGAAGUCGUCGAAGGAGAAGGUGAAGGGAUUGCAUUGUUUAGUUGCCAUCUCUCUUGGUCUACAAAGAUGGAUGAUUACUAUGUGAUUCUAGUUUUCCAUCAUGGGGGUAAUUUUAUUAGAAGAGGUGGUGAUGAGUUUGUUUAUGUGCAUGGUAAGGUAGAAAAGUUUUCGAAAGAUGGACAUUGAUUUUAUCAACUUCCGGGACUUGAUAACCUUGUUCAAGGGCUUAGGAUAUCAAUCAUACAAGGCUGUCUACUAAUAUUCUAUUUACAAUUUGUAUGUAAUUGUGAUCUGAAUUUUACAUUGAUUGUUAAAGGGGUAUUCUAUAUUAUUAAAGUGGUACUUUAUAUUAUUCUA